This 459-nucleotide ribosomal RNA is filed under the name uncultured bacterium. RNAcentral's name for it is "partial 16S ribosomal RNA". It matches the Rfam family "Bacterial small subunit ribosomal RNA", at positions 338 to 795 of the family's 1533-position model. The record is from RNAcentral.
CCUACGGGAGGCAGCAGUGAGGAAUAUUGGUCAAUGGGCGGGAGCCUGAACCAGCCAAGCCGCGUGAGGGAAGAAGGUACAGCGUAUCGUAAACCUCUUUUGUCAGGGAACAAAGGCGGGGACUAGUCCCCUGAUGAGGGUACCUUAAGAACAAGCAUCGGCUAACUCCGUGCCAGCAGCCGCGGUAAUACGGAGGAUGCGAGCGUUCUCCGGAUUUAUUGGGUUUGAAGGGUGCGCAGGCGGCCUGUUAAGUCAGCGGUAAAAGCCCGGGGCUCAACCCCGGCGAGCCGUUGAAACUGGGGGGCUGGAGUGGGAGAGAAGUACGCGGAAUGCGCGGUGUAGCGGUGAAAUGCUUAGAUAUCGCGCAGAACCCCGAUUGCGAAGGCAGCGUACCGGCUCCAAACUGACGCUGAGGCACGAAAGCGUGGGUAUCGAACAGGAUUAGAUACCCUAGUAGUC